RNAcentral lists this long non-coding RNA (12886 nucleotides) under Volvox carteri. RNAcentral's name for it is "long non-coding RNA (VCAR_LNC000192)". Lineage: Eukaryota; Viridiplantae; Chlorophyta; Chlorophyceae; Chlamydomonadales; Volvocaceae. The record is from RNAcentral.
CGCCUCCGCCACCCAAGAUGGUCAUGCAGCCCAAGCCGGCAAAGCCAAUCCAAGGCAAGCCGGCCCUUGGGAGGCGCCACCUGUAAUUUACGUGGACAUGUGCUUUGAUAUUGUAUAUAGGGACCUGAUAUUGAUACAUAACGAUCAGAUGGGAAGCAACCGGGAGUGCAAAUGGCGAAGUAUAAGCACUGGAUGGGGCUGCCCUUUUCGGGAGCCGCAGCCGUCAUGUGGCCAACACAUGCUAAGGUUUUCAUUCCUCGUUUAGCACAUCGUAAGCUAAUGCAGUUUCGUUUAUGUUGCUGGGCUUUGGAGGCGAACAGAGCACGAAGGGGCAAGUACCAUGUCCCCAGGGGGCAGCGGUUUUGCCACUGUUGUGGUCCUAAUAGCCGAAUUGAGGAUGAAAAACACGUGUUAUUGGAAUGCCCAGCCUAUAAUGAUAUUCGUGCUGAAGAGGGAUUCGAUCAUCAACAGAGUAUGUUGGAGGCCAUGCAAUGGGAACCCGCACGUCUGGCGAGGAUGUUGGAACGUAUGUGGGCUCACCGAAACUCAAUUACCCCCUUUGGACGUUAGUCUGGGCUGAUGUGCGGUGUUUUUUCCUUUUUCUCCGUGGCUUUUAGGCGUUGUAGUAUUGCCCUUGGGCCCUCGGCUCGUAUGGGUAGUCUUACAGGUAUGGGGUCACGCACCCCCAACCAUGUAACACACACACACAUAACGAUCGCCAUUAACAGCGAACUUAAAUCCACUCUGCGAAAUACGCUUUACGAGGGUCACCGCCUGGGUAGUGUAUAUUGGGUCCUAAGCGGGUGAUGUUGAGUGCGUCAUGCUAGGCGAUGAGGCGUUGUUGUUUUGCCGGCAGGACCCCGGAUUCAAGCACGCUGCACACACACGUCGACAUGUGCCGGUUGCCAUGGGAGUGUGAUUAUCUAGGUGGUUAUUAGUUGCUUUCGAGAUUAUAUUUGUCGUACUCGUUGAGGGCAAGAGGGCCACGUGUGGCAUUGCUGUACAGUAGUUUGGGCACGGCAGGCGCUUAUUGUAUCAACGUAGUAGCAUAAGGGGUAGCGCCGUACCCAAUGCCUUCCUGAAGUUGGAUUGCAGCGGAAGAAGACGCUCUUGCCCGUAGUCGCGGAUUUGCACCGGGGUUGGAUAUACGCGUUGACGCCUGUCACUUCGUGGCCCUAGUGCCCAAAUGUGAGUCAGCAUCGUGUCGCGAUUCCAGCUCGGUGAGAAAAGAUUCGACUGUCGACGGGCUUCGGUAAUAAGGGUUAGCGUUAUCUCGCUUAAAAGUCGUUAGGUGUGGUUUUUUCUAUCCGUGGGAAAAACGUUUUUGAGUGUGCUUUUUCGGUCGUGUUUUCCAUAGCCAUUCCUCGGGUAAGCACCCUCCCCCUUCGCUAUCCAUCGAUAGCGGUCAAUUCGUGCGUGGUCGUGCCUUCCACAUACAUGCCAAGUCGUUUUUAAUCUUUGAAUGGCUUUGUGCGUCUUAGAAAAUGUUUUUUGGCGCCAUUUGUCGCCUUUGUGGUCUCGAAGCUACUUCCCCUUGGUUAAGCGAAAUACAAAUUUACCGGAUGAUUUGCUGAAUUGCAGCCACACUUGGGCAUCGAUUGGAGGAAUGUAACACGACGAUGAUUGAUCCUUUCGGUGGACUGCAGCACCGCACUGGUGCCAGGGCGGGCGGGAUCUGUACUACCUGUCUGGGUUUACAUGUCCCUCGCUCACUGUUGCUCGUGCAAGUUGUUCAAAUAGCAAUUCAAAUAGCAAUCAGGAAAAAGCGUAGAAAGCCGGCAUCGGACGGGAGCACGCCGUCAGCUGUGAUGGAUUGGAAGCAUGUGACAGGGCCCGGCCCGGGCCCCCGGGGGUCAGCCUGCACCUUAUGGCUGUUGACUAUUCACUGUCACAACAUACUCGGCAUCAUGUGACGCGACGUCAGCGGCUACUUGCAAAGAACCGAGUACACCUGGAAAACAAAUGGCUUGCUAUAGCUACACAAAAAGUGUACCAAACAUAGGGACGGCCAAUCCCCUGUGUGCGUGAGGACGCUGGGCACUGGUCGACAAUUCAUUUCCGCCGCCGCAAAGCUCAGUCAUACACCGCUGCUCAGAUUGCGCAACCAGCGUUUACCGUCUUAGAGCGUUUACCGUCUUAGAGCGUUUACCGUCUUAGAGCGUUUACCGUCUUAGAGCGUUUACCGUCUUAGAGCGUUUACCGUCUUAGAGCGUUUACCGUCUUAGAGCGUUUACCGUCUCUGAGGGGCUAUAUCCUCGCAAGGAGAACCAGCAGCCGCACCUGCACCCCGUGCGUGGUGCGUGCGUGUUUUUCCAUGUAUCGUGGUUACCCCCCGUGUGUCGUGUCUAUCACCCGCCUUCAGCUUAAUAGCUUAGGGCGUGAACACGUGUCCCAUUUUUUCUCGCUGCCAACAACUGCCGUACAGCAGGCAGGUUCCUGCGUGUUAUUACACCUGGGAAUGGGAAUUGUGUUUCGCAUGGCCAGCAACCAUGGCAUCGUGCUGAGCUGUUGUCGAUGGGGACGAGUUUGCAGAAGUCCCGCCCUUAACCCGCAGAGUAAUGCAUUGACUGCUGCGCAAGUGAGGCCGGCGAGACUGGUAGACAAGCCGAUACAUCGUUUUAAGUCAUCCGUGCUGUACGGGAUCCUCUGGUUGCUUUCAGUGAGUGGAAAUGGCGACCCAUCUAGCACUGCCAAUAGCCAGUACGAGACGGUGAUGUCGGUUGAAGGUCAGACGGUGUCCAUUUAUGCUGCAGCAACACUUGUGAGGCCCGGGGCCUACACCCCUGGGUACGCACGCUGUCCGCCUACCUGGAGCUCACCCACCCUGCACUCCAACCGGGACCGUGGCUCGGCAGCAGCGACCUUCCCGCAGACAUCAGCCGGAUCGUGGGGGCCCUGGGUCACUUGCCGCCUUUGGAGGACAUUGGCAGCAGGGUUCGACACUGACCUUCCUGAAACUUGCGGGCUCCCCCGUACCUCCCAAAUUUUCCUUACGGAGGGGCCCCCGUACCAGGCUCCUGUACCGGCCGAAAACCUUACGGGGGCCCCCGUAACCCCCGUAAAACCUUUACGGGGGCACUGUCCUUGGCUGAAACGCUGUGGAAAGUGACGCUUUGCAUUUUUUUGCCCUGUAAAUCGUUAUUUUCGUUAUUUUCUCGCGCUUCUUGGAGGGCGGUGGAUUAGGAGGCCCUUGGUCACCUCCUGACGACUCAUUGUCUGCCAUCGCUGGAUGUUACAGACCAGAAGCUAUAAAAGUAUUAUGAAAAGUGUAGUUAAAUAUUGGAAUAUGAAUUAUGUCUGCCAAGUGUGUGGCCUUAUCCUUUAUAUGGUCCGUCCUCUCCCCUACAGGGCCCCGUACGGCCUCUUAUAAAUCCUUAAAAUCCUUACGGGAGCCACCGUAACCGGCCUUCGGCCGGUCCGGGGGCGGCCCCGUACGGGGCGCUUCGCGCCACAAAAUCCUUACGGGAGCCACCGAAAAGUCCUACGGGCCCUGACGGGGAUACCGAAAAAAGGCCAAAAACUUACGGGCCCCGUACGGGGUGUCGAACCCUGCCAAUUUGGCAGAACCCCACUGGAACCCGGUGAUUGGUGCUGGGCGGCGGCGCUAUGGGGCAACCCACUGCUGCCCAAUGCGACCAAUGCUGCAAGCACCGAGGGCCCCAGCCGUCGACCAGGCCUGGAAGCAUACCAUGCAGCACUGACACCGUGCAGGAAACUACGCACGGUGGGGGACCUGGUACGGGUGUGGGAAGCGGUAAACACUAGCCAAGCCACCACCCUCCAGGGAGCAGCCUGGCAUUCGUGGGCCCGUGAGCACCUCGACCCAGCCACAGGCCCCGCCCAGCUGCAGGACAAGGAUGCCGCCCUUGCAGCUCUUGGAGCCCUGCACAGCGACAUCAGCCCGGCCUGGCUGGCGGCAGCACACGCGGUGGAGAUCAGGCUGCGACAGCAACAACAAGUGGAGGAGGGGCCCCAGCAGCAACCACCAGCACAGGCAAUGACACUGCCAGACUGCACACAAGUGAUGACCAUGAUGAUUGGGCGCCUGGGGUGGCGCCUCCCUGGGGCGACGGACGCUGUGCCGCUCCGCCGCCUAACAGUCAGUCAAGCGACACAGCUACAGAACGGGCAUGUGGACGAGCGGCGAAUACGCCUGAUGACCGACUUCGUGCAUGAGGCCCUGAACACGCCCGAGGCCCAGGCCCAGCCUGACAAUUCUGCCGAGCUUAGCCGCUUUCAGGCAACUCUGGCGCGCUUGUGGCAUGGGGUGCGCUGGGAGAAUGAGAACAAGGAGACCAUGUGGCGUCUCGCCGUGGAUGGCGUGCCCCUACCUGGCAACACGCACCUAGCCCGGGUGCCCACUGAGCCAUGCGGGUGUGGGACCUAUGGGGGCGCCGCCGGCCGACCCUGCCCACCGCGUCUGCACCAUUUCUGGGAAUGUCCAGUCGCACGUGCCGUACGGGAGCAAAAUCGACAGGCACCUGCCACACACUCAGACAACAGUAGGGGCCACCACCACCCGGCAACAGCUCUGGCUUGCCCAAGCGCCACCCGGGUGUGAGCAGGGCCCUUGGGAUGUGAUCGCCCUAGCGGCGCUAUCCGCCAUGGAAGUCGGCAGGUGCUGCCUCCGAGCAGCAACCCGGCGACAGGGACGGAUGGGGGCGACAGCAACGACGGGACAGCAGCAGCAGCAGCAGCGACAGCAACAGCGACAGAUGAUGGGGCAGCCACAGCAGCAGAGAUCCCGCCAGCGGGCCAUCACAGAUUUCUUCACCCCGGCGGGAGGUGCAAUGCAGCAAGAAGGACCCACCCUAAACGCCCCAGCGGAUGAAGGGCCAACGCAGGAAGCAGGGGCGGGAGGGGGCGAGGCGGUGGCAGCAGCAGCAACAGCGGGCGCAACAGGAGCCUUGCCACUGGCCCGCGCACGCGCCCGGGCGGUGGCAGACUUCUGGGCGCGUUUGCGCUCGUUCGCAAUGCUGGAGACCCCCAGACACGGCUGGGACAGAGUCGGGCCGCAGCACCCUAUCCUGGCGGUCGUGGAGGAACGGAUGCGGUGCGCAGCACCGGUGGAAAUCACGGCCUAAAUAGCCGAGAUAGAGUCGGGUCGAGGUCUUACUGGAAAGGGAGCAGGGAGAGUGAGGGAGGGGGUGAGAGAGCCAGGAGUAGGGAUAGGUGAGGGAGCGAGGAGAGCAGGGAGGACCGGGGCAGGUGGAGGGCAGGGCGAGGAGGCAGCGCCCUGAGCGUGGUCUAGCAGGGGGAGUUGGGGAUCCGGGCUGUGUGUGUUUUGUGUGCUCGUGUGGUUGCCCUCUCCCCGGGAAUUGGGGCCCGUCGGAGUGAGGGGAUUGGGUUCUGUGCUGUCUGGCAUCAGAGUGGAGGAGACGUAGGUGGCUUGUGAGAGUGGAGAGGAGGUGGGAAAGCGGUGGAGGACAGUGGUUGGGAGGUGGAGAACAGGUGUUGCUGUUUCCGGCAGGGUCAGGAGGGGAGGGGUUUCGGUGUGGUAAGCGGGAGCAGGCGGCGUCUGUGAGCCGUGCCUUUUCCGGGCUUUAUAGGGGGGCACCGUGCUGGCUUAUCAUCCCCCCCGCGGCAAUAGGUGUUUUUGCUGUGUCUUGCGCUGGGCUGCACCCGGGAACCCGCAACCCCCAGGAGGAGACUGACAGGCGGACCAGUUUCGCCUCGUUUGUGAGUGGACCGGCGAGGUAGUGGUGGCCACCCUCGGGAAGUGUUCGUUGCUCGUUGCUCGUGGUAGUUGAACAGCUGGCCUUCAAGGACCAGUGUGCGAGUACUCGCUUCGUGUUGGUCUUCUCUGUGCAACCGUAUCUCGGCUUAUGUGGUGUGUCGUCUCAGGCCUGUGGUCCUCCGUGUAUCUCUUGCCUUGCUGGCUGCGUGGGGCCCUGGUUUUUGAGUGUGUAGAGGAGCCCCCUGAGUAGAGCCCCUGCCCCCGGUGGUGUUUUCUUUUUGUUCUUGUUUUGGUGGUCAAGAGGGACGAGAGCGCGUGAAUAGGCAGGCCAGGCAAAGUGGCGCCUUUCGUGCGGCUCUCGCAUAGUUCGGUUCGCAGUCCUCUGCACCGCUGUGUUGCCUAGCCAGGGGCUGGGAGAGCGUCCCGGUUGGCGUGAGUGAGGGAAUGAGGCGCGCGCGGGAGGAACAGACGGACGUAGAGCCGCGCGCCCACCCCUGCGCUGUGUUUCGGCCCGGUCAGGGCCCCCGGUGCUCGUCCUUUAUCGGGCGAGCCGCCCACAGUGUAACACCCCAUCAACACUUGAAAGAUUGCGUGUGCGAUGACUUGGAUUCGGCUGAAGGAUGCUCGCCCUCAGCCAGCACAUUAAUGAGUAACUGUAACCUAUCAUAGACAUAUGUACGUUUUCUCCAAAACGUUUUUUUCCGAUGACUGUCGACAUCCCGGUUUCCCAUGAUGACAGCGACUUCCAAUCCUAUAACCCGUAACAUCGCUCGGCCACGAUCACGUCAAAUUGUUCUGGAGUAUGUUCCCAGAUAUUUCUACGCGGCAAUAACUGCGCGGGCCGUACUGCUUCAAGCGCCGCUUGCAUGGGCGCAGGGAGCAGGCACGGCGACCGGACUCACUGAUAGCCAGCCGCUACCUCUUUUGGGACAACCCUGCACGACAUGCUGUCGUCGUCUUUUGAGGAAACCAGUUACCCAAGCUUUCCUAAUUAGUCAUAGCGUACCGCAAGGAACCGUUUGGGAAGGCUCGGUCUAUCUUAUAGGGUUUUAGGGUUUUGCGAAUGGGAAAAAAUACGUUUGGGAUGCAAGUUCAAGGCAGUGCAUGCGUCAAAUAGCAUGGAUGAAAACUUUUAAAACGACGAUAUCUUACGUAGAGGCCCAUCCCUACCUAUCAUACUAGGAGACAAUUUUUAAAAAGAAAUAAUAUGUCUUGCAGACUAUCGUAGAGAGCGCUGCAGGUAGGGCUAGAGGAGAUGUGCUGCAAUGUUAGCCGUCCUCAAAAUGCUCGAACCUCGGUGGGCUCUCGGCCGACAGGGCUGCAAUGGGAAUUCCGAAACUGUUUGAAACAAGCGGAGUCCUUCAGCUCAUCAUAAUAUGUGUGGCACUGAGUUUUGGCGUGAUGAUGUGAAAAAAGGCCGAUGGCAGGAAGACUGGCGGGCAACUGGCGGGCAACGAAACAAUCGCGCAUGACAAGGGUAAGAGGCAAUAGCUGUGCGAUAGGUCAUAAAGCGGCUGCACUAGGUCGUGGCUUUAUGCAACGCCAGCUCGGGCUUGGAGGCACACAACGUGACAGCCCAAAUGAACGGUGUGGGCGAUGCCAUUGUACUUAGUGAUCUUGGCUGCACGCAAGGCAGGGGAAGACGUAACCAACGGCAACCAGCCGAAAGUUGCUGAAUUACAGCGUUAACCACCUGAAUUUGCUGACGUACAGCGUUGACCUGCUGAAAGCUACCGAAGUACAGCGUUGACCUGCUGAAAGCUGCUGAAGUACAGCGUUGACCUGCUGAAAGCUGCUGAGGUACAGCGUUGACCUGCUGCGAGUUGCUGAAGUACAGCGUUACAGUCUGGCUAAUUAUUAGGUUUCCCCAGAUUCCCAGCUAAAAAUGGCCACACCUUUCGCAGGAGGAAAUCAGCAGCUCAAUUUGCGUCAGGUUACCCCAGAUCGGCCAGUGUCGGACCUGCGGCAGUAGGCCACGGAGCUGGCCCGACCCCUGCUCCAGCCUGCGCCAGCCCUGCCUUGAGCCCUCCUGUGUCCUGUCCUGCUCGCACUGCAUGGUCCCCAAGAAACAAAGUUUCCAAUGGUAUCUUUACAUCAUUCAACUAAGGAAUACGGCAGGAUUUCCCGGAGUGUAAAUGUUUCGGUCACAUUCCGGUUUUACCGUUUCGUAUAUGUUCGUACCCAGCCGCCGCGCACGCCGUCCAUUGGGGAAAUUUACUAAAUGUUCAUGUUCAUGGCCGUUUCUCAUGGAAAAUUAUUUUUUUAGUCAUGUUCAUCUAAGUUAUGAGCAACGCCGUCUCAAGUACCUCCGAUGAUUAUUGCCCAUCGAUUGGAGGCAAACUGCCUGCUUAGAUUUUACAAGUUAAGGGUUAUAUGGCGUAGUGAAUAUUAUCUCUGCCCCCGAGGGCAGCGUGACCAAGCUUAGCCCUGCAUGGCCAAUAGGUCAUACGCCUUCGCUGCAUCUUAACUUCCGCUGCACUGGUGACUUGCCAUUACUGUACACAAAUCUUAUCAUAAUAUAGGGAUUUAAUUCCUUUAAAUUUUAACCUGUAGCGUACGCGUUCUGGUGGAAGUGCGUGUUCACGCAAUCGCUGGAAUGGGCUUUUCGCCGUCCCCGUGCAACAACUGCCGUAAACUUCCUACAGUCUUUGCAGUAUUUAAGCGGCAUUAUUUUAAUUUACAUUAUCGAAAUCAAUACCUAACUUAACCAGCGUGGUAGGGGUUGAUUUGCGCAACCCUUUGCCAUUGUACAGGGAAGAUGAACGCCGAGGGGUCAUUGCAAAUGCUGCUGGCGGGAAUGCUUGCGAUAAAUCUGCUGAGCUUAAGUGUGGUUACUGCUCAGCCUGGUGGCACCACAACUCCUUGCCCAAAAGGCAAUGGCCAGGUACUUGGCGGCUCCAGCGGCCUGUAAUCGGUUCUGAUGGGCAAUUCUGUACAUACAAAAUGAGGUAUUGUUUCCCUACCUGCGGACCUUCACUCGGAAAUCAGCAAGUCUUGGGCCGCGGAAUGUCGUAAUCCGCGUUCGUCGCUAGUACUUGAUACACCCUGGCGCCUUUAUUGCGAUGUUCUCUUUGUCGACUGUAUCUUCGGUCUACUCUGUGUUCCCGGACUUAUCCGUUGCCCGCUGGCCCCAUUGACAGGUGGUGCGGCUGGUGAGCAAAACGAGCACCGAGUACACGGUCUUCUUCAGCGGCUGCCCGUUCUACAGCCCCUACAAUCAGACCACACCUAACUCGCCAACAUUCCAGAACAAGACGGUGAGAACUCAGUGAAACGCUGUGAAAAGUCAAGUCAGUGUCCCCCAUGGCUGUGGUACCUAUAAGCGCCAACUCACCGGCCUAACAAACUAACUACCGUUCCGGCGGGCUUCCCUCUCCCCCGCAACCCACGGCGUGUAGGUUACGUUCCGCAUCACCCCGGUGCUCUCGUCCACCGUCACGUGAGUGCGGCCCGGGGGCCCGUACAUGGGCCUUGGGCACUGUUGGGUAACACGACCUAUCUGGGCUGUACAUGGUCAGGGGACGAGGAAGUGCGUGCCCGGGUCGCUUGAGUUAGGGAGAAAACAGAACCAUAAGGCCAUACAAAGGUCAUGUCAAGUCCCUAGUGUAUAGUACGUUGUGGCUUUAACGCACGAACCAGUUGUGACGCUUCUAUGCAUGCCCCCUUGCCUCCUCUGCCGUCCCUUACCGCACACUCCCAGGAAGUUCGCUUCACCUCUCAUUCCCUGUAGCAGUCCAACAUGUGUGCCUUAGCUUAACCCUUUACUUGUUUCAGUAGCUCGGCCCUUGACUCACUUUCCCACUUCCUUUUCCCGCUCCUGAACCCGCCACUGAGCCCUUCCCCUCCCGCCCCGCCAUACGUCACAUACGGCCAUACAUACGUACCUACAGCUACGUCGGUAUUUAUGCCAGCGGCACCACCAGCAACUCCCAGAAGAUCAUGAGCACCAUCGGCUACACAGUCACCGGCAUUGCCAUGUUCAGCGAUGCGGAUGCUACCGGGUCUGACGCCUACGUCAACGUGGGUCGCGGGUUGGGGGGUCUGACGGCGGUUGGGGGGCCUUUGCAGCGGAUAACCGGCGGAACACACCAUCAUGGCUGCAGUACUGCCGCCCCUGCCCCUUAUGCAGCUGUGCUGCUAAUCCCGCCACUGCCCCUGCUGCUACUGCCCAUUACAGGAGGGCCACACUUUCGAUGGAUGCCGCGGUCACGCCGGUGAGUGAGGUUUCAUGCGGUUCCUGCCUGUGUGUUACUGUUGCUGUGCGCGCAUUGUGAGGUCCUCUGCUUGUUGCGGCCCUGCCCGGCAUGGGGCAGAGGUGGACACGGGGGCGGAGGGGCAUUGGCGGCGUCCGAGUAGUAGUGUGCAGCCUCUAUGGCUUCGGACCCCUAUCCAUGCAAGGGAUGUUGGUCCUUGCUCCAUGAUAAAUGGAAGGUGCAGAGUACUGGACCUUGGAGCCUUUGUGUCCACAAUCAUUCCUUGUGCCCCGCCCCAAACCAAGUCGCCUGCCGCCGCUACCCCCCAGCUCCCCUAACCGUUCUGUCCUCAUCUAAAGCCACCUCACGCCCUAAUCCCGAUCCCUGCCUACUUCGGCGUGCAGAAAUGAACGGUCUCUACCACUAUCACUCGGAGCCUGGCUCCGGCUGCGUGUACAACGAGACCGCGGGCACGCACUCCCCCCUGCUGGGUAUCAUGUACGACAGCAUCCCGAUUUACGGCGCCCUGGGCGACAACGGUGUGCCGCCGGCGGACCUAGACGAGUGCGGCGGCCACACAGACACCACCUACCCCUUCUACCACUACCACACCACAUACAACUUGAAGUCCCCGUGAGUAUAACCAAACGGUCUGUUAGGUCCAGAUAUGCCUAACGAUAUCCUGUAAAUGCGGGAGCGUUGGAUGGACUACUUGUGAUUACAUGCCAAUCCGGAAGACGAGAAAUAUGCGAGUUUAGGGCUUAGCUUGGACUCGGAUCCACAUUUUAGUAUAUGAAGGAUGACACCUGUCGUACUCCAACGGUAGCAAGACAUGCAUACAUGCAUGGCAGCACACCAUAAUAUUACCUAGUUGAAGCCGUGGCGCGAAGGAGGGUUGUACCCGUUGUACCCGUUUUUCGGGCCCCGUUGGCUGGGAUAGAUACAGCUGCAGUGCAGGGCCCUCACGCAUGCAAGGCCCUCCGCCCAGGCAUAUUGUCACUAGGGUUUUUCAGAGCUUGAGAAGGCCCCUCCGCUCCUCUGGGGCAUCUGGCCCUGGGAGCAUGUGCACGGAAGUGAUCCGACCCCUCCGCGGUAACAGUUACUUUCCGUACAUGUCGUACAGGUACCUCGUCAAGUGCUUCCGCGGCUGCAUUUUCAACGCCAACGGCAACCCCUCGGUGAGCUGCCGCCUGGCCCAGACCUGUCGGUCUUACCACACAUACAGCCCUCAUCUGCCUUGUGUGCUUGCGUGGCUCUUUCAGACAGUUGCCAUUGCCCGAGGACUUGCCCGUAGCCUGGGACCGGACCGUGCAACAUAUGCGCUUGGCUGUUGAUGGUCAUUUUCUUCAUGCUGCGUGCACGACAUGCGUUGCUUUGCUGUUCGCGCAUGUCCCAGAGAUGUUGAGGGUUUUCAGGGCGCUCAGGUCAUCGGGUCAUUAUGGCACCCGCCAUCACCACCGUGAGCUGAUUGGACAAGAGCAUCAUCAUCUAAUGCUUUAGCAAUGCCACCCGUUACGAUGUGUCACUGUGACUAGACCUCCGAACUGUUGCCCUGUUCCUCCCUCCCGCAGAUCCAGCAGUACAACCUGGUCAAGACCGACGCCACGUGCGUAAAGGCGGCGACGCAGUACGACUACAGCUCCUUCGUCAAUCCCCUGCUGUCGUCAAGCCCUGUGACUACCAGCUCGCCGCCGCCGCCGCCACAAACCGGGUCAAGUAGCCCGCCGCCGCCGCCAUCAGCGCUGCGCAGCCCGCCGCCGGUGCUUGGGAAGCCACCAAAGGCGCAGGCGGGUAGCCCGCCACCGCCUCCGCCACCAACAUCGCGCAGCCCGCCGCCGGUGCUUGGGAAGCCACCAAAGGCGCAGGCGGGUAGCCCGCCGCCGCCGCCACCAACAUCGCGCAGCCCGCCGCCGGCAAUGACACGUAGCCCGCCGCCGUCGCUGCCAUCCAAGUCGCCGCCGCCGCCACCGCCACCGGCAGUAGCGGGGUCGCCGCCACCAGCGGGGAUGCGGCCCAAGCCGCCCAAGGCUGUGGUAGGCAGGCGCCUGUAAAGUAUUGACGUGUUCUUUGCAUUCAUGAGGCGCCAGACAUGCUUCUCACCAUAUCGUGGACAUGUUAAGCCCACCCUUCCGGGCGUUUAUGUACCAUAGCCGUUGCUUCGGUUACAUUCAUUAGGAUCCAUUCCAUAACCCGGAUCCAAAUGUUACAUUGCUAUGCCUGCUUAUGCCUGAAGUACGCGUUCGAAUUCAUCAAGCGAUGUGCACUGGGACCCAUUUUGAGUUGGUUGCACGCUAUAGUUGCUUUUGAGGUGAUGGAUAUAUCAAAGGUAAUCUUGAGGGCGCGAUGGCCAAACACAGCCGUACGUGUAUGAUUCUGAAGCUAAUCUUGUGAGACAUUAGAUUCGCAAGCAUCAUAUAUAAGAAACACUGCUGCACAGGUUACCCCUUCAUGCUAAUAAACACGAUGCAUGGUACAUUGUUGCGGCAUCUGCUGGGAAGGGGAUGUGGCGCCGUACGGGGAGGCCGGAGCGCUCCCAAGGCGCAGAUCGCUUGCGUCCAUGCAUGGGCGUGCAUGUAGUGGUCGUAGAUUGCACGCAUGUGGAAAUAUAACGACACCUGUCAUCGCUCGUGGUCCAUAAUAUCACGUAUGUCCAUCGCCAUAAUUUCGGCUUGGAGGAGGCCAAUCAGCAGCCAAUAAAACUCAGUUGUAUCCGCUAGUUCGGGUUAGGUUGGGGUAGUUCGGGCUCAGGUAAUUCGCGUACGUUUUCGAGGCAUGGUGUUGUUGUAUUGGUCAACAAUUGUAGGUUACAUACAGCUGCUCAACGAGCGCGCUCCUCGUGUGUCGAGCAAUUUAGCUAGAUUAAUCCCGGACCCCAGGCGCAUGGAUGGCGGUAUGGAGCUGUCCCGAUACGGAGCAUGGCCCGCCGUUAUCGGAAAACCAUGUGACAUCCUUAGAUGCUUGACUCUUGUAAAGUACUCUUCCCGGGCAGUGUACAAUUCAUGAAAUGAGUGCAAAA